Molecule: ribosomal RNA, 448 nt
Filed under: uncultured bacterium
Lineage: Bacteria
Description: bacterial SSU rRNA
Rfam family: Bacterial small subunit ribosomal RNA
Source: RNAcentral
ACUCCUACGGGAGGCAGCAGUGGGGAAUCUUGGACAAUGGGCGCAAGCCUGAUCCAGCCAUGCCGCGUGAGUGAUGAAGGCCUUAGGGUCGUAAAGCUCUUUCGCCAGAGAUGAUAAUGACAGUAUCUGGUAAAGAAACCCCGGCUAACUCCGUGCCAGCAGCCGCGGUAAUACGGAGGGGGUUAGCGUUGUUCGGAAUUACUGGGCGUAAAGCGCGCGUAGGCGGAUUGGAAAGUUGGGGGUGAAAUCCCGGGGCUCAACCCCGGAACUGCCUCCAAAACUCCCAGUCUUGAGUUCGAGAGAGGUGAGUGGAAUUCCGAGUGUAGAGGUGAAAUUCGUAGAUAUUCGGAGGAACACCAGUGGCGAAGGCGGCUCACUGGCUCGAUACUGACGCUGAGGUGCGAAAGUGUGGGGAGCAAACAGGAUUAGAUACCCUGGUAGCACAGAG